Molecule: ribosomal RNA, 254 nt
Filed under: uncultured bacterium
Lineage: Bacteria
Description: partial 16S ribosomal RNA
Rfam family: Bacterial small subunit ribosomal RNA
Source: RNAcentral
CACGUAGGGGGCGAGCGUUGUCCGGAUUUAUUGGGCGUAAAGAGCUCGUAGGCGGUUUCGUAAGUCGGAUGUGAAAACUCCAGGCUCAACUUGGAGACGCCAUUCGAUACUGCGAUGACUUGAGUCCGGUAGGGGAGUGUGGAAUUCCUGGUGUAGCGGUGAAAUGCGCAGAUAUCGUAAGGAAGACCAGUGGCGAAGGCGGGUCUCUGGACAGUUCCUGACGCUGAGGCACGAAGGUCAGGGGAGCAAACGGG